AGGUGAACCUGCGGAGGGAUCAUUACCGAGUUUACAACUCCCAAACCCAAUGUGAACGUUACCAAUCUGUUGCCUCGGCGGGAUUCUCUGCCCCGGGCGCGUCGCAGCCCCGGAUCCCAUGGCGCCCGCCGGAGGACCAACUCAAACUCUUUUUUCUCUCCGUCGCGGCCUACGUCGCGGCUCUGUUUUAUUUUUGCUCUGAGCCUUUCUCGGCGACCCUAGCGGGCGUCUCGAAAAUGAAUCAAAACUUUCAACAACGGAUCUCUUGGUUCUGGCAUCGAUGAAGAACGCAGCGAAAUGCGAUAAGUAAUGUGAAUUGCAGAAUUCAGUGAAUCAUCGAAUCUUUGAACGCACAUUGCGCCCGCCAGUAUUCUGGCGGGCAUGCCUGUCCGAGCGUCAUUUCAACCCUCGAACCCCUCCGGGGGGUCGGCGUUGGGGAUCGGCCCCUCACCGGGCCGCCCCCGAAAUACAGUGGCGGUCUCGCCGCAGCCUCUCCUGCGCAGUAGUUUGCACACUCGCACCGGGAGCGCGGCGCGGCCACAGCCGUAAAACACCCCAAACUCUGAAAUGUUGACCUCGGAUCAGGUAGGAAUACCCGCUGAACUUAAGCAUAUCAAUAA
This 620-nucleotide ribosomal RNA is filed under the name Trichoderma citrinoviride. RNAcentral describes it as "eukaryotic LSU rRNA". The stretch from base 246 to 399 matches the Rfam family "5.8S ribosomal RNA". Lineage: Eukaryota; Fungi; Ascomycota; Sordariomycetes; Hypocreales; Hypocreaceae. The record is from RNAcentral.